This 772-nucleotide ribosomal RNA is filed under the name uncultured bacterium. RNAcentral's name for it is "bacterial SSU rRNA". It matches the Rfam family "Bacterial small subunit ribosomal RNA", at positions 562 to 1331 of the family's 1533-position model. The record is from RNAcentral.
AAAGCGUGCGCAGGCGGUUUUGUAAGUCAGAUGUGAAAUCCCCGAGCUCAACUUGGGAACUGCGUUUGAAACUACAAGACUAGAAUAUGUCAGAGGGGGGUAGAAUUCCACGUGUAGCAGUGAAAUGCGUAGAGAUGUGGAGGAAUACCAAUGGCGAAGGCAGCCCCCUGGGAUAAUAUUGACGCUCAUGCACGAAAGCGUGGGGAGCAAACAGGAUUAGAUGCCCUGGUAGUCCACGCCCUAAACGAUGUCUACUAGUUGUUGGUGGAGUAAAAUCCAUGAGUAACGCAGCUAACGCGUGAAGUAGACCGCCUGGGGAGUACGGUCGCAAGAUUAAAACUCAAAUGAAUUGACGGGGGCCCGCACAAGCGGUGGAUUAUGUGGAUUAAUUCGAUGCAACGCGAAAAACCUUACCUGGCCUUGACAUGUAACGAACUUUCCAGAGAUGGAUUGGUGCUCGAAAGAGAGCGUUAACACAGGUGCUGCAUGGCUGUCGUCAGCUCGUGUCGUGAGAUGUUGGGUUAAGUCCCGCAACGAGCGCAACCCUUGCCAUUAAUUGCCAUCAUUUAGUUGGGCACUUUAAUGGGACUGCCGGUGACAAACCGGAGGAAGGUGGGGAUGACGUCAAGUCCUCAUGGCCCUUAUGGCCAGGGCUUCACACGUAAUACAAUGGUCGGUACAGAGGGUUGCCAAGCCGCGAGGUGGAGCCAAUCCUCAGAAAGCCGAUCGUAGUCCGGAUUGUAGUCUGCAACUCGACUACAUGAAGUCGGAA